Molecule: transfer RNA, 72 nt
Organism: Alligator mississippiensis (American alligator)
Lineage: Eukaryota; Metazoa; Chordata; Crocodylia; Alligatoridae
Rfam family: tRNA
About the family: Transfer RNA (tRNA) molecules are approximately 80 nucleotides in length.
Source: Rfam
GGGGAUGUAGCUCAGUGGUAGAGUACAUGCGUUGCAUGUAUGAGGGCUUGGGUUUACUCCCCUGCAUCUCCA